UACGGGGGGUGCAAGCGUUGUUCGGAUUUACUGGGCGUAAAGGGCGCGUAGGCGGCCAGCACAAGUCAGUUGUGAAAUCUCCGAGCUUAACUCGGAAAGGUCAACUGAUACUGUGCGGCUAGAGUGCAGAAGGGGCAACUGGAAUUCUUGGUGUAGCGGUGAAAUGCGUAGAUAUCAAGAGGAACACCUGCGGCGAAGGCGGGUUGCUGGGCUGACACUGACGCUGAGGCGCGAAAGCCAGGGGAGCGAACGGG
Molecule: ribosomal RNA, 254 nt
Filed under: uncultured bacterium
Lineage: Bacteria
Description: partial 16S ribosomal RNA
Rfam family: Bacterial small subunit ribosomal RNA
Source: RNAcentral